RNAcentral lists this long non-coding RNA (221 nucleotides) under Salmo trutta (river trout). RNAcentral describes it as "lncRNA (ENSSTUG00000012879.1)". The record is from RNAcentral. Lineage: Eukaryota; Metazoa; Chordata; Actinopteri; Salmoniformes; Salmonidae.
GUAUACAGAUGAGGAGGUAUACAAAGGAUUCUACAUUAUGGACAAGGAAACCUGUUCGAUCACCAUGCACUGCAAAAUCAUUCUGGCUACGGAUAAGGAGAACAACAACACAUUAACAUCAAUACCCCAGAGGAUAUAUUGGACAUGGGGCUCUGCUGGGAGUUUACCUCAUAUUAUAAUUUUUUUCUGCUUUGCCACUAAAAUCAUAAUAAACACUGACA